RNAcentral lists this ribosomal RNA (666 nucleotides) under uncultured Bacteroidota bacterium. Its description in RNAcentral is "bacterial SSU rRNA". It matches the Rfam family "Bacterial small subunit ribosomal RNA", at positions 100 to 764 of the family's 1533-position model. Lineage: Bacteria; Pseudomonadati; Bacteroidota. The record is from RNAcentral.
AGACGGGUGAGGAACACGUACGCAACCUCCCUUUAACUGGGGCACAACCUUGAGAAAUCAGGGCUAAUUCCCCAUAACAUUGCGAAAGGGCAUCCAAUUGCAAUUAAAGAUUCGUCGGUUAGAGAUGGGCGUGCGUUCGAUUAGCUAGUUGGUAAGGUAACGGCUUACCAAGGCAACGAUCGAUAGCUGGUGUGAGAGCACGACCAGCCACACGGGCACUGAGAUACGGGCCCGACUCCUACGGGAGGCAGCAGUAAGGAAUAUUGGUCAAUGGGCGAAAGCCUGAACCAGCCAUGCCGCGUGAAGGAUGAAGGUCCUCUGGAUUGUAAACUUCUUUUAUCUAUGAAUAAACGCCUGAUUUCUAUCGGGUUUGAAGGUAAUAGAUGAAUAAGCACCGGCUAACUCCGUGCCAGCAGCCGCGGUAAUACGGAGGGUGCAAGCGUUAUCCGGAUUCACUGGGUUUAAAGGGUGCGUAGGUUGAUAGGUAAGUCAGUGGUGAAAUACUCCGACUCAAUCGGAGAACUGCCGUUGAUACUAUUUAUCUUGAAUACGGUGGAGGCGGGCGGAAUGCGUCAUGUAGUGGUGAAAUACUUAGAUAUGACGCAGAACACCCAUUGCGAAGGCAGCUCGCUACACCGGCAUUGACACUGAGGCACGAAAGCGUGG